Molecule: ribosomal RNA, 92 nt
Filed under: uncultured bacterium
Lineage: Bacteria
Description: partial 16S ribosomal RNA
Source: RNAcentral
CCUUGCACACACGCCCGUCGCUUCAUCGAAGUUGGUUUUAGGCGAGGUGGUGCGAUUUGGCAUUAUCGAACCUGAGAUCGAGCAACGAGGAG